Molecule: transfer RNA, 97 nt
Filed under: compost metagenome
Description: tRNA-Gln
Source: RNAcentral
GGUUGAAUGGGUGAUGGAAUUGGCCCGGCAGAUCCUGGAUCUACCCGGCCAAUUCGCGGGAAUGGAAGUGCUCAAGUUUCAGCAUUUGAUUCGGCCG